RNAcentral lists this ribosomal RNA (459 nucleotides) under uncultured bacterium. RNAcentral describes it as "partial 16S ribosomal RNA". It matches the Rfam family "Bacterial small subunit ribosomal RNA", at positions 338 to 795 of the family's 1533-position model. The record is from RNAcentral.
CCUACGGGCGGCAGCAGUGAGGAAUAUUGGUCAAUGGACGAGAGUCUGAACCAGCCAAGUAGCGUGAAGGAUGACUGCCCUAUGGGUUGUAAACUUCUUUUAUCAAGGAAUAAAACGAGGCACGUGUGCCUUUUUGCAUGUACUUUAUGAAUAAGGAUCGGCUAACUCCGUGCCAGCAGCCGCGGUAAUACGGAGGAUGCGAGCGUUAUCCGGUGUUAUUGGGUUUAAAGGGUGCGUAGGCGGAGGGUGAAGUAAGUGGUCAAAUUGAGGGGCACAACCCCUUCCCGCCAUUUAAACUGGCGCGCUUGAGUGGAAGAGAGGUAUGCGGAAUGCGUGGUAUAGCGGUGAAAUGCAUAGAUAUCACGCAGAACCCCGAUUGCGAAGGCAGCAUGCCGGCUUCCGACUGACGCUGAAGCACGAAAGCGUGGGGAUCGAACAGGAUUAGAUACCCGUGUAGUC